AAUCAACGCUGGCGGCGUGCCUAACACAUGCAAGUCGCACGAGAAAGGGGAGCAAUCCCUGAGUAAAGUGGCGCACGGGUGAGUAACACGUGAAUAAUCUACCUCCGAGUGGGGAAUAACUGAGAGAAAUCUUAGCUAAUACCGCAUAACACUUACGAGUCAAAGCAGCAAUGCGCUUGGAGAGGAGUUCGCGGCCGAUUAGUUAGUUGGCGGGGUAAUGGCCCACCAAGACGAUGAUCGGUAUCCGGCCUGAGAGGGCGCACGGACACACUGGAACUGGAACACGGUCCAGACUCCUACGGGAGGCAGCAGUGGGGAAUUUUGCGCAAUGGGGGAAACCCUGACGCAGCAACGCCGCGUGGAGGAUGAAAUCCCUUGGGAUGUAAACUCCUUUCGAUAGGGAAGAUAAUGACGGUACCUAUAGAAGAAGCCCCGGCUAACUUCGUGCCAGCCGCCGAGUAAC
RNAcentral lists this ribosomal RNA (463 nucleotides) under uncultured bacterium. RNAcentral's name for it is "bacterial SSU rRNA". It matches the Rfam family "Bacterial small subunit ribosomal RNA", at positions 32 to 524 of the family's 1533-position model. The record is from RNAcentral.